GCCCUAGUAGCUCAGUGGUAGAGCGUUCCCUUGGUAAGGGAGAGGUCAUGGGUUCAAUCCCCAUCUAGGGCU
This 72-nucleotide transfer RNA is filed under the name Anaerolineae bacterium CFX9. RNAcentral describes it as "tRNA-Thr". It matches the Rfam family "tRNA". Rfam says of the family: Transfer RNA (tRNA) molecules are approximately 80 nucleotides in length. Their secondary structure includes four short double-helical elements and three loops (D, anti-codon, and T loops). The record is from RNAcentral. Lineage: Bacteria; Bacillati; Chloroflexota; Anaerolineae. RNAcentral also lists the same sequence under 2 other names.